This 635-nucleotide ribosomal RNA is filed under the name uncultured bacterium. Its description in RNAcentral is "bacterial SSU rRNA". It matches the Rfam family "Bacterial small subunit ribosomal RNA", at positions 8 to 642 of the family's 1533-position model. The record is from RNAcentral.
AGAGUUUGAUCAUGGCUCAGGAUGAACGCUGGCGGCGUGCUUAACACAUGCAAGUCGAGCGAAGCACUUUACUAGAUUUCUUCGGAUUGAAGGUUUAGUGACUGAGCGGCGGACGGGUGAGUAACGCGUGGGGAACCUGCCUCAUACAGGGGGAUAACAGUUAGAAAUGACUGCUAAUACCGCAUAAGACCACAGCACCGCAUGGUGCAGGGGUAAAAACUCCGGUGGUAUGAGAUGGACCCGCGUCUGAUUAGCUAGUUGGUAAGGUAACGGCUUACCAAGGCGACGAUCAGUAGCCGACCUGAGAGGGUGACCGGCCACAUUGGGACUGAGACACGGCCCAAACUCCUACGGGAGGCAGCAGUGGGGAAUAUUGCACAAUGGGGGAAACCCUGAUGCAGCGACGCCGCGUGAAGGAUGAAGUAUUUCGGUAUGUAAACUUCUAUCAGCAGGGAAGAAAAUGACGGUACCUGACUAAGAAGCCCCGGCUAACUACGUGCCAGCAGCCGCGGUAAUACGUAGGGGGCAAGCGUUAUCCGGAUUUACUGGGUGUAAAGGGAGCGUAGACGGAGAGGCAAGUCUGAUGUGAAAGCCCGGGGCUCAACCCCGGGACUGCAUUGGAAAACUGUUUUUCU